This 72-nucleotide transfer RNA is filed under the name Camelus ferus (Wild Bactrian camel). It matches the Rfam family "tRNA". From Rfam's summary of the family: Transfer RNA (tRNA) molecules are approximately 80 nucleotides in length. Their secondary structure includes four short double-helical elements and three loops (D, anti-codon, and T loops). Further hydrogen bonds mediate the characteristic L-shaped molecular structure. tRNAs have two regions of fundamental functional importance: the anti-codon, which is responsible for specific mRNA codon recognition, and the 3' end, to which the tRNAs corresponding amino acid is attached (by aminoacyl-tRNA synthetases). tRNAs cope with the degeneracy of the genetic code in two manners: having more than one tRNA (with a specific anti-codon) for a particular amino acid; and 'wobble' base-pairing, i.e. permitting non-standard base-pairing at the 3rd anti-codon position. The record is from Rfam by way of RNAcentral. Lineage: Eukaryota; Metazoa; Chordata; Mammalia; Artiodactyla; Camelidae.
AAGGGUAUAGCUCAGUGGUAGAGCACAUGCUUAACAUACACAGGGUCCUGGGUUCAAUCCCCGGUACCUCCA